RNAcentral lists this ribosomal RNA (254 nucleotides) under uncultured bacterium. RNAcentral's name for it is "partial 16S ribosomal RNA". It matches the Rfam family "Bacterial small subunit ribosomal RNA", at positions 524 to 776 of the family's 1533-position model. The record is from RNAcentral.
UACGUAGGGUGCAAGCGUUGUCCGGAAUUAUUGGGCGUAAAGAGCUCGUAGGCGGUUUGUUGCGUCGGCUGUGAAAUCCCGAGGCUCAACCUCGGGUCUGCAGUCGAUACGGGCAAACUAGAGUAUUGCAGGGGAGACUGGAAUUCCUGGUGUAGCGGUGAAAUGCGCAGAUAUCAGGAGGAACACCGGUGGCGAAGGCGGGUCUCUGGGCAAUAACUGACGCUGGAGGAGCGAAAGCGUGGGGAGCGAACAGG